This 258-nucleotide ribosomal RNA is filed under the name uncultured bacterium. RNAcentral's name for it is "partial 16S ribosomal RNA". It matches the Rfam family "Bacterial small subunit ribosomal RNA", at positions 524 to 779 of the family's 1533-position model. The record is from RNAcentral.
UACGUAGGGUGCAAGCGUUAAUCGGAAUUACUGGGCGUAAAGCGUGCGCAGGCGGUUUGGUAAGACAGAUGUGAAAUCCCCGGGCUCAACCUGGGAACUGCGUUUGAAACUACAAGGCUAGAGUGUAGCAGAGGGGGGUAGAAUUCCACGUGUAGCAGUGAAAUGCGUAGAGAUGUGGAGGAAUACCAAUGGCGAAGGCAGCCCCCUGGGUUAACACUGACGCUCAUGCACGAAAGGCGUGGGGAGCAAACGAGGAUU